RNAcentral lists this ribosomal RNA (450 nucleotides) under uncultured bacterium. RNAcentral's name for it is "partial 16S ribosomal RNA". It matches the Rfam family "Bacterial small subunit ribosomal RNA", at positions 354 to 796 of the family's 1533-position model. The record is from RNAcentral.
GUGGGGAAUAUUGGACAAUGGGCGAAAGCCUGAUCCAGCCAUGCCGCGUGUGUGAAGAAGGUCUUCGGAUUGUAAAGCACUUUACGUUGGGAGGAAGGGCAGUAAGUUAAUACCUUGCUGUUUUGACGUUACCGACAGAAUAAGCACCGGCUAACUUCGUGCCAGCAGCCGCGGUAAUACGAAGGGUGCAAGCGUUAAUCGGAAUUACUGGGCGUAAAGCGCGCGUAGGUGGUUUUGUAAGUUGGAGGUGAAAUCCCCGGGCUCAACCUGGGAACUGCAUACAAAACUGCAUGACUAGAGUACGGUAGAGGGUAGUGGAAUUUCCUGUGUGGCGGUGAAAUGCGUAGAUAUAGGAAGGAACACCAGUGGCGAAGGCGACUACCUGGACUGAUACUGACACUGAGGUGCGAAAGCGUGGGGAGCAAACAGGAUUAGAAACCCGAGUAGUCC